This 1343-nucleotide ribosomal RNA is filed under the name uncultured bacterium. Its description in RNAcentral is "16S ribosomal RNA". It matches the Rfam family "Bacterial small subunit ribosomal RNA", at positions 28 to 1378 of the family's 1533-position model. The record is from RNAcentral.
GACGAACGCUGGCGGCGUGCUUAACACAUGCAAGUCGAACGGAAAGGCCCUGCUUUUGUGGGGUGCUCGAGUGGCGAACGGGUGAGUAACACGUGAGUAACCUGCCCUUGACUUUGGGAUAACUUCAGGAAACUGGGGCUAAUACCGGAUAGGAGCUCCUGCUGCAUGGUGGGGGUUGGAAAGUUUCGGCGGUUGGGGAUGGACUCGCGGCUUAUCAGCUUGUUGGUGGGGUAGUGGCUUACCAAGGCUUUGACGGGUAGCCGGCCUGAGAGGGUGACCGGCCACAUUGAGACUGAGAUACGGCCCAGACUCCUACGGGAGGCAGCAGUGGGGAAUAUUGCACAAUGGGCGGAAGCCUGAUGCAGCAACGCCGCGUGCGGGAUGACGGCCUUCGGGUUGUAAACCGCUUUCGCCUGUGACGAAGCGUGAGUGACGGUAAUGGGUAAAGAAGCACCGGCUAACUACGUGCCAGCAGCCGCGGUGAUACGUAGGGUGCGAGCGUUGUCCGGAUUUAUUGGGCGUAAAGGGCUCGUAGGUGGUUGAUCGCGUCGGAAGUGUAAUCUCGGGGCUUAACCCUGAGCGUGCUUUCGAUACGGGUUGACUUGAGGAAGGUAGGGGAGAAUGGAAUUCCUGGUGGAGCGGUGGAAUGCGCAGAUAUCAGGAGGAACACCAGUGGCGAAGGCGGUUCUCUGGGCCUUUCCUGACGCUGAGGAGCGAAAGCGUGGGGAGCGAACAGGCUUAGAUACCCUGGUAGUCCACGCUGUAAACGGUGGGUACUAGGUGUGGGGUCCAUUCCACGGGUUCCGUGCCGUAGCUAACGCUUUAAGUACCCCGCCUGGGGAGUACGGCCGCAAGGCUAAAACUCAAAGGAAUUGACGGGGCCCCGCACAAGCGGCGGAGCAUGCGGAUUAAUUCGAUGCAACGCGUAGAACCUUACCUGGGUUUGACAUGGAUCGGGAGUGCUCAGAGAUGGGUGUGCCUCUUUUGGGGUCGGUUCACAGGUGGUGCAUGGCUGUCGUCAGCUCGUGUCGUGAGAUGUUGGGUUAAGUCCCGCAACGAGCGCAACCCUUGUUCACUGUUGCCAGCACGUUAUGGUGGGGACUCAGUGGAGACCGCCGGGGUCAACUCGGAGGAAGGUGGGGAUGACGUCAAGUCAUCAUGCCCCUUAUGUCCAGGGCUUCACGCAUGCUACAAUGGCUGGUACAGAGAGUGGCGAGCCUGUGAGGGUGAGCGAAUCUCGGAAAGCCGGUCUCAGUUCGGAUUGGGGUCUGCAACUCGACCUCAUGAAGUCGGAGUCGCUAGUAAUCGCAGAUCAGCAACGCUGCGGUGAAUACGUUCCCGGG